CACGUAGGGGGCGAGCGUUGUCCGGAUUUAUUGGGCGUAAAGAGCUCGUAGGCGGCUCAGUAAGUCAGGUGUGAAAACUCCAGGCUCAACCUGGAGACGCCACCUGAUACUGCUGUGGCUAGAGUCCGGUAGGGGAGCAUGGAAUUCCUGGUGUAGCGGUGAAAUGCGCAGAUAUCAGGAGGAACACCGGUGGCGAAGGCGGCAUCCUGGACCGGUAUUGACGCUGAGGCGCGAAAGCUAGGGGAGCAAACGGG
This 254-nucleotide ribosomal RNA is filed under the name uncultured bacterium. RNAcentral describes it as "partial 16S ribosomal RNA". It matches the Rfam family "Bacterial small subunit ribosomal RNA", at positions 524 to 776 of the family's 1533-position model. The record is from RNAcentral.